This 459-nucleotide ribosomal RNA is filed under the name [Eubacterium] brachy. RNAcentral's name for it is "bacterial SSU rRNA". It matches the Rfam family "Bacterial small subunit ribosomal RNA", at positions 28 to 487 of the family's 1533-position model. Lineage: Bacteria; Bacillati; Bacillota; Clostridia; Peptostreptococcales; Anaerovoracaceae. The record is from RNAcentral.
GAUGAACGCUGGCGGCGUGCUUAACACAUGCAAGUCGAGCGAGAAGUUUUGAAAAGAUUCUUCGGAUGAAAUUUAAAAUGGAAAGCGGCGGACGGGUGAGUAACGCGUAGGCAACCUGCCCCAUACAAAGGGAUAGCAUUUGGAAACGAAUAUUAAUACCUUAUGAAACUUAACUAGUGCAUGCUAGGUAGGUCAAAGAUUUAUCGGUAUGGGAUGGGCCUGCGUCUGAUUAGCUAGUUGGUGAGGUAACGGCUCACCAAGGCGACGAUCAGUAGCCGACCUGAGAGGGUGAACGGCCACAUUGGAACUGAGACACGGUCCAAACUCCUACGGGAGGCAGCAGUGGGGAAUAUUGCACAAUGGGGGAAACCCUGAUGCAGCAACGCCGCGUGAACGAUGAAGGCCUUUGGGUCGUAAAGUUCUGUUCUAGGUGAUGAAAACUGACAGUAACCUAGGAGA